RNAcentral lists this long non-coding RNA (493 nucleotides) under Pan troglodytes (chimpanzee). RNAcentral describes it as "lincRNA". The record is from RNAcentral. Lineage: Eukaryota; Metazoa; Chordata; Mammalia; Primates; Hominidae.
CUAUUCUGGGGAGGGCGAAGACGCCAGGAGGAUUCCAGCUCCAGGAGCCAGCCGCCCUGUGGCCCCCGUCGUGGGGAGGAGAGGCCGGGAGCGGCGCGGUGGGCAGAGUGGGGCCAUCUGGGUCCCCUGUGGCUGCUGGGCUGACCCUGGCACACGGGGUGCCUGCAGAUGGCUAUAUGGAAAGCACAGGUGUUUCUGCUUCUGGAGAGGCCCCAGGAAGCUUCCAACCGUGGUGGAAGGCGAAGCGGGAGCAGGUGUCUCACAUGGCGUGAGCGGGAACGAGAAAGACAGAGCAGAGAAACGUGCAGAGGAAAUGGUUGGAGAGCGAAGUCCAGGCACAGGGGCCAUGAGAGCCGGACCCCACGCAGCUGCAGACCCCGACCCAAACUGCAUGCGGCUGAGGACCCCCAAGCCAGGCAGACCCGGACCCAGACCCCACGCGGCCGCGGACCCCAACCCAGACAGACCCCGACCCACCCGUGCAGCCCCCAGC